Molecule: long non-coding RNA, 979 nt
Organism: Pimephales promelas (fathead minnow)
Lineage: Eukaryota; Metazoa; Chordata; Actinopteri; Cypriniformes; Leuciscidae
Source: RefSeq, a predicted model, not a curated record
UCUCAAUUUAGAGAUUGGAUUAAAAUACUCUAAAAAAAAAAAAAAACGAUCUUGUCUUCUCGUUUUUUUGCCGCUUUGAGCAUAAAUUUCACAAAAGACAUAAGACAUUACGAUAUACAAACAAGUUAUAUGUGUGAAGUGGUCGGCAUGCACGCUUAUAUUUUGAAACCUAUUAAUUUCACACUGAGAGAAAGAAAAACAGAUUGGAUAACAUAAUCAUCAGAUGAUGAGAGGCAGUUGGCCCUUUCCCAUGUCUUGGAGUAUGAUAGCUUUUGCUGAGAAGAAAUGGUUACGGGAAAAGCCCAGAGGAGGCCGGAGGGGUGGAGAGGCCAUGGACACAGCAUCAGGAUCUCCCCAGUCUCAGGGUCAGCCUGCCUUGUAAUGAAAGCGCCAGUGAUGUGUGACACAGAAUACAAAAAUGACUGCCUAGACGACCAGAAUGAAAAGCAGGACUUCUGGGUGAUGGUCAAAGCAUUUACCAACAGGUCUUCAGAAUGCUUGGUCACAACUGAUUUAUUAUAAUAUCUAUAGUAUCAUUAUUAUAGUAUAUAUAGUAUUUGCAUUAAAAAUGUCAUAAUUGAGAGAAUGACACUUAAUGACAGAUGUCUUAAACAAGCAUAACACCUCCCUCAUAUUCAUGACAUGUAUCAUGUCAGUCUUAUGCACACCCCUUCAUGUAAAGUGUUACCAACAAGCUUGAAUAUACUAGAGUAGAGUAAAUGAAUUUGACCUAAGCUAACUAAAUUGUGUUCAUGCAACUAAACUGAAACUUAACUUCUUUAAGUUUAAUUUCAUUUGAAAUGUAAAAACUUCAAUUAAAUCAAGUACGGGUAAUAAAUUAAUUUUAUGAGUGAUAGCACGCAGCUUUGAGCCCAGAUGAACAAACAAGUUCAAACAAGACGGGCAUUAAUGGGACAGUCAUAUCACUUAUUACACAGCUUUUCACAACAUAAAUAAAGACUGGGAUGCUAGAUAUUAA